GGCGGCGGAGCGACAGGAGGCGCUGAGGGAGUUCGUGGCGGUGACGGGCGCCGAGGAGGACCGGGCCCGCUUCUUUCUCGAGUCGGCCGGCUGGGACUUGCAGAUCGCGCUAGCGAGCUUUUAUGAGGACGGAGGGGAUGAAGACAUUGUGACCAUUUCGCAGGCAACCCCCAGUUCAGUGUCCAGAGGCACAGCCCCCAGGUAAGGGCCAGCUUCAAUUAUCGCUACAUGAGUGUUUCCAGCAGUGAAGAGGAGCUAUUUUCUGACCAGAGCGUUCAGGCCUGGGUGUGUGGACCAGGUCUGAAUGAGAAGGUUAGACUGAGUCAAUGGGUAGUACUUCCCAGCAGGCCUCAGUCAUUUCCUAUACAGAGAUGCAUGACUUUUAACUGGGUGUGGUUUAUGGUUCAAUCCUGGGGGAAACCACAAACCUACUUUUAAGACUUUUACUUAUGUAGUAUGAGGAAUGACCACUGCAACUCUAAAGUUUUUAAGUAAAAGCCAAAAAACUUCCUUUCAAGGGUGCUAUAGAUGUGAAAGUUUAGGCGAAAUGACUUAGGAAAGCUGUUUUGAUAUUUUAGGAUGCCCGUUACCUUAUUAAGAAGUCUUGUACAAAAUAAACCUGUG
This 624-nucleotide long non-coding RNA is filed under the name Homo sapiens (human). RNAcentral's name for it is "non-protein coding lnc-NSFL1C-1:6". Lineage: Eukaryota; Metazoa; Chordata; Mammalia; Primates; Hominidae. The record is from RNAcentral.